UGGGGAAUAUUGCACAAUGGAGGGAACUCUGAUGCAGCGACGCCGCGUGAGUGAUGAAGGAAUUCGUUUCGUAAAACUCUGUUCUAUGGGAAGAAACGGACUGUACCAUAGGAGAAAGCUCCGGCUAAAUACGUGCCAGCAGCCGCGGUAAUACGUAUGGAGCGAGCGUUGUCCGGAAUUAUUGGGCGUAAAGGGUGCGCAGGCGGCUUUACAAGUUGGAUGUGAAAUAUUGUGGCUCAACCACAAACGUGCAUCCAAAACUGCAAAGCUUGAGUUAAGGAGAGGUAAGUGGAAUUCCUGGUGUAGCGGUGGAAUGCGUAGAUAUCAGGAGGAAUACCGGUGGCGAAGGCGACUUACUGGACUUAAACUGACGCUCAGGCACGAAAGCGUGGGGAGCAAACAGG
Molecule: ribosomal RNA, 404 nt
Filed under: Fusobacteriota bacterium
Lineage: Bacteria; Fusobacteriati; Fusobacteriota
Description: Fusobacteria bacterium partial 16S ribosomal RNA
Rfam family: Bacterial small subunit ribosomal RNA
Source: RNAcentral